AUGGCAUACGAUAUGCUCGAUGCGAUUAACAAUGGGAAGGAUUCCUGGAAAGUGAAGGUCAGAGUAAUUAGGCUAUGGGACGCCAUUAACCUCAAUAACAAUGAACUAAUUAGCCUUGACAUGAUACUGCUUGAUGAACAGGGCACUAUGAUACAUGCGAAGGUAAUAAAACAUAUGGUUAACAAGUUUAGGCCAUUGAUCCAAGAAGGUUUAGUCUACAUGAUAGCAAAUUUCAAGGUUACAUCUGCCAUGAAUUUCUGUCCAGUUGAAGGCGACAAGAUUAUUAACUUCUUGCACACAACAAAAAUUCAAGAGAUUAAGGGACUUAAAAAUAUCAGAAUAGCAGAACAAAGUUUCAUGUUUUGUAGUGUUGAAGUUCUUUCCAGAAGAGAUGGCCAGAGGAUGUACUUAUCCGAUGUCAUUGGGGUAGCAAGUUAUAUAGGGAAUAUUGAAGAGACGGAGACAACUCAUGGGAUUUCCAAGAUUCGAGAUAUUGUACUUCGAAUUGAGGAUCAAAAAGUUAAUAUUAGACUCUGGGGCAAUAAGGUUGACCAAAUUGAUGAAGAUUCUAUGGGACGUGUUGUCAUAGUAACAUCAACAACGGUCAGAAAAUUGAAAGAGUACUCGCUGUCAUCUACAGGUGCGACCAAAGUAUAUAUCGAUUUGGAUAUCCUUGAAACAGCUGAGCUCCAAACGAGGUAUUGCUUGGAAGAUGAUAUCAUAGAGGAAACAGGGCCGGAAGCCCACUUGCAAGGAACAAUUCAAGAACAAAUGCUCUAUAACAGAAAUACACUAAGAGAAAUAACUGAAAUUGCAUAUGAAUCUGAAAAACAGGAAAAGUUCUAUACUGCAGAAGCAACCAUUAAGUCAAUUGAUACAUCAGAUGAGUGGUACUACAUAGGAUGCGGCAAAUGUAACAAAAAACUACAAAAAGAAGGGAAUCACUUCUACUGUCCAAAAUGUGAGAAAGAACCUGAGAAGACAUGUCCAAGGUACAAACUUAAGCUAGAGAUAUGUGAUCAUACUGCAACAACAACUUGCACCAUGUUUGAGACAGAAGCAAAAAAACUGAUUAAGCAAUCUGCAAGAUUCUUGAUAGAUAGGGAUGACUGUGAUAUCCAUGAGCACGAAGAAUUUUUUUAG
This 1143-nucleotide ribosomal RNA is filed under the name Triticum aestivum (bread wheat). RNAcentral's name for it is "partial small subunit ribosomal RNA". Lineage: Eukaryota; Viridiplantae; Streptophyta; Magnoliopsida; Poales; Poaceae. The record is from RNAcentral.